AGGAGGAACCACCUCAGUGGCGGGGCCAGCUCUCCAGCCCUGGAGUCAGCUCCCACAGUAACUGCGGAGCUCUCAGCCUGCAAGGGCCUGGAUGCUCCCGCGGGGG
Molecule: microRNA precursor, 106 nt
Filed under: Canis lupus familiaris (dog)
Lineage: Eukaryota; Metazoa; Chordata; Mammalia; Carnivora; Canidae
Also listed under: 1 other name
Description: mir-8834 microRNA precursor family
Rfam family: mir-8834 microRNA precursor family
Source: Rfam by way of RNAcentral